RNAcentral lists this ribosomal RNA (253 nucleotides) under uncultured bacterium. RNAcentral describes it as "partial 16S ribosomal RNA". It matches the Rfam family "Bacterial small subunit ribosomal RNA", at positions 524 to 776 of the family's 1533-position model. The record is from RNAcentral.
UACGUAGGUGGCAAGCGUUGUCCGGAAUUAUUGGGCGUAAAGCGCGCGCAGGCGGCUAUGUAAGUCUGGUGUUAAAGCCCGGGGCUCAACCCCGGUCCGCAUCGGAAACUGCGUAGCUUGAGUGCAGAAGAGGAAAGCGGUAUUCCACGUGUAGCGGUGAAAUGCGUAGAGAUGUGGAGGAACACCAGUGGCGAAGGCGGCUUUCUGGUCUGUAACUGACGCUGAGGCACGAAAGCGUGGGGGAGCAAACAGG